UCUCAGGUCAGAAGUUAUGCAGAAGCAUCAGCUGCACAUCCUAUAAUUUUUCAGAUAUCCUUAUAAGAUUUGAUUUUUUUAUGACUCUUUUACAAAAUAUGACGCCUAUACCUAAAGUUCCUUGUCAAUCUAUAACAGAUAUUAACGAUUUUGUUAUUAAUAAUGAAGUUAUUAAUGAGGAUAUAAUCCCAAAUACAGAUGGAUAUGAACUCUUAAAUCAGGAAUCUGAGGAAGAAGAGCAACCUUUACCAAGCCAUAUAGAAAUUCCAUAUGUAAAUGAUUAUAUUGAAGAUGACAUUGGUAAUAAUCUAGAUUUUGAAUUUAAUUUAGAAAAUGAGAUUCAAGUUAAAAAUGCUAUGCUAAAUAUUAAUAUUCCUUCUUCAAAUUUUCCUCAAUGGUCCUUCCAAAUAACUGAAGAAGAAUGGAAUAAUAAAUUAUAUGAAAUAAUUCAAAAAAGAUCUUAAAUCUAUUCUAUGAUUUAUUAAAAAAAAUUAAAAUAUCAAUAUUUAUUUUAAAAAAUGCUAUAUAGUCAUAGAUAAUCAUGACAUAGGUAAUUUAUAA
Molecule: long non-coding RNA, 561 nt
Organism: Gordionus sp. m RMFG-2023
Lineage: Eukaryota; Metazoa; Nematomorpha; Gordioida; Chordodea; Parachordodidae
Exons: 3
Source: RefSeq, a predicted model, not a curated record